AUAGGCAUGUUGAUAGAGAAGAGUAGUAUAAUGCUUCAUUUUAGAGAGGUGAUAUUUGGUGAGAAUCACUAUGAGUGUUUUAUGAAAGGAACUCUUGAGUGCGCAGUUAUGAAAGUAGGGCUUAUUGCCAAGAAGGGUGGAACCGCGGAAAAUGUUUUUCGUCCCUUUA
Molecule: non-coding RNA, 169 nt
Filed under: Clostridium paraputrificum
Lineage: Bacteria; Bacillati; Bacillota; Clostridia; Eubacteriales; Clostridiaceae
Description: T-box sequence
Rfam family: T-box leader
About the family: Uncharged tRNA acts as the effector for transcription antitermination of genes in the T-box leader family. T-boxes are found upstream of many aminoacyl-tRNA synthetase genes and some amino acid biosynthetic genes usually in Gram-positive bacteria.
Source: RNAcentral